This 404-nucleotide long non-coding RNA is filed under the name Pan troglodytes (chimpanzee). Its description in RNAcentral is "long non-coding RNA NONPTRT017809". The record is from RNAcentral. Lineage: Eukaryota; Metazoa; Chordata; Mammalia; Primates; Hominidae.
AGAAACUAGAGUGCAUAGGGCUGUGAGAAGUUCUAAGGCAUUUGUGUAUUGCACCGGAGACUGAAAGAAGGGUGAGGUUUUGGGGGCUCUGAUGUGCAAGUGUUGCCACCUUUAAAUGGCCCCUUACUCUCAUAAUCAGUGCUGAGUAGUGGCAAGGGGGAGAAAAUGGAAAAGUUGGCAUGGGAGAGAAGGCAGAUCCAGAAGAUAGGAUACAGCUCAGCCCUGAGAAUGUGGCCUGAUUUUCUCUUCUGUUAUUACAACUGCUCUUCUGCUUGAGUUUCUUCUACACCUUCAAGAUGGCUGAAGAACAAGAUGCUUUCUCUCCAUGUCUAUGCUGUUUCACUAUGCUGCAAAUAUUCCCAGCCUUUUCCCCUUGAUGCCCAAAAUAAAUUCCUCAAAUACCC